Zootoca vivipara (common lizard) is the source of this 1222-nucleotide non-coding RNA. Lineage: Eukaryota; Metazoa; Chordata; Lepidosauria; Squamata; Lacertidae. The record is from RefSeq and is a predicted model, not a curated record.
CUUUAUGUUUAUACAACUCCUGCUCCUGGACACGCUGGUUCAAAGAGACAGAGAACAACUGGAGAAGCUAAGGACAGGACCUGAAAAGCAUUGUGAUAUGAAACAGGGAGAAGCACUGCAGCAAAGCAAAAGGGUGCAUAUGUAUUUACCCUUAGAUUACACCUUAAGCAUUUUCCAAAUUCUAAACAUGGCGGGCAAGGGAUCUUUGGGGUAUUUACUAGAGUAAGACCUCACUUUGUGCAAUGGGGUGGGAGGGCUGGCAGCAUACCAGGAUCAUGUUAUUGUAACUUGUGCAUGACCCAAAUAAUGACCUGCUUGUGGUGGUGAAAGUGAACUGGUCUUGUGGGGAUGUGCAGGCUGAGCUGUUUCAGAGGCCAAAGGCCAAAGGAUGGACCACUUUAAGCACACUGUUAGGACUUGACACGUCUUUUAACAAAUGAAAAGUUUGAAUCGGGACUGCAGUGCGAUAAGCUUUUCCCACCAAAAAUCGGCUCUGCUCCAAGCCUGUUUGUCACAUUACAGUACUCCCAUAAUUGGUGGUACACCUUCUUUAAACUUCCUUCUAGAAUUCUGUCAAGCAAGUCACACUUUUCAAGAUAAAUCUAUUUUUAUUUUUGCACUGGGCUCUUCAAAAACAUUUCACACAGUUUAGUAGAAACUGUUUAGAGAUACUCAGUUCGAAGCCCUGAUAUUUCCUGCUAUCGAGGCACCUUUGUGCAGUUGCUUGCUAUCGCAGGGAAGCAACUGAGCAACUCAGCAGCCAAUCAGAGCCAAGAAAGUGGUGCUAAAUUGGUCUGGCAGGAACGGAGCCACUUGUUUUCCUCUCCGACCUCUUGGAAACCUUCAACUGCCUUUGGACAAGCGAGCGUGCACUUGUUGUGACACCAACAGCUGCAACUUCCCAGCUCGAGAAGCCGAGCCCAUAGACACUCCCUACCAAAGGGCAGAAAGCGCCAUUUCAGCAACAGCUUGGGGGAGCUCAAAAGCGAAUAGCUAAAAGAAAAUGCUGCGUUUCCAUAAGACGUUCAGAUUCCUGAAUGCAACAAUGAGGAAUCAGAUCAUUCCUCGAGCAAAUAUCACAGAGAAGCCACCUAAGGAGAUCCUAACGCCAAUAGACCAAGCUAUUGGACUGACUGUGAUGUUUGUAACCUUCUUGGCCCCAUCCGGUUGGAUACUGAGCCAUAUGGAGGAUUACAAGAAUGCGCACCGUGAAUGAAGCACA